This 70-nucleotide transfer RNA is filed under the name Triticum monococcum (einkorn wheat). Its description in RNAcentral is "partial tRNA-Gln". It matches the Rfam family "tRNA". Rfam says of the family: Transfer RNA (tRNA) molecules are approximately 80 nucleotides in length. The record is from RNAcentral. RNAcentral also lists the same sequence under 1 other name. Lineage: Eukaryota; Viridiplantae; Streptophyta; Magnoliopsida; Poales; Poaceae.
GGCGUGGCCAAGUGGUAAGGCAGCGGGUUUUGGUCCCGUUACUCGGAGGUUCGAAUCCUUCCGUCCCAGA